Molecule: small RNA, 82 nt
Filed under: Salmonella enterica subsp. enterica
Lineage: Bacteria; Pseudomonadati; Pseudomonadota; Gammaproteobacteria; Enterobacterales; Enterobacteriaceae
Description: partial RtT sRNA
Rfam family: RtT RNA
About the family: This family represents a bacterial cis-regulatory element known as RtT RNA. The exact function of RtT is unknown although it is thought that it may be involved in changing the cellular response in relation to amino acid starvation.
Source: RNAcentral
CGAGCGCAGCGAGAGAACGUUGCGUUAGCAACGGCCCGCAGGGCGAGCCACGCAGUGGCGAGUCAUCCUCUAUCACCGGCAG